GCUGGAGAAUGGAGUGGCUUCCUGCGGCGUUUGCACCGACGCCACUAUGCCGGUAAAGCCACGGGGCGUGUCCGUGACGCCGGCA
Molecule: transfer RNA, 85 nt
Filed under: Pseudomonas fluorescens
Lineage: Bacteria; Pseudomonadati; Pseudomonadota; Gammaproteobacteria; Pseudomonadales; Pseudomonadaceae
Description: tRNA-Ala
Source: RNAcentral